UGGGGAAUCUUGGACAAUGGGGGCAACCCUGAUCCAGCGACGCCGCGUGGGUGAUGAAGGCCUUAGGGUUGUAAACCCCUUUCACCGGGGAGGAUGAUGACGUUACCCGGAGAAGAAGCACCGGCUAACUCCGUGCCAGCAGCCGCGGUAAGACGGAGGGUGCUAGCGUUGUUCGGAAUCACUGGGCGUAAAGGGCGCGUAGGCGGCUUCGUCAGUCAGAUGUGAAAGCCCGGGGCUCAACCCCGGAACGGCAUUUGAUACUGCGGAGCUGGAGGUCGAGAGAGGAGAGUGGAAUACCCAGUGUAGAGGUGAAAUUCGUAGAUAUUGGGUGGAACACCGGUGGCGAAAGCGGCUCUCUGGCUCGAACCUGACGCUGAGGCGCGAAAGCGUGGGGAGCAAACAGGAUUAGAUACCCCCGUAGUCC
RNAcentral lists this ribosomal RNA (424 nucleotides) under uncultured prokaryote. RNAcentral describes it as "bacterial SSU rRNA". It matches the Rfam family "Bacterial small subunit ribosomal RNA", at positions 355 to 796 of the family's 1533-position model. The record is from RNAcentral.